This 323-nucleotide long non-coding RNA is filed under the name Canis lupus familiaris (dog). RNAcentral describes it as "lncRNA (ENSCAFG00845030826.1)". The record is from RNAcentral. Lineage: Eukaryota; Metazoa; Chordata; Mammalia; Carnivora; Canidae.
GCAACAGAAGAGAAUCAAUUGAAAUAAUCAAAGCAUCUAACAACUGCAUAGGAAGUUUUUUGAUGAUGAAACUUUCAUGGAUCCUUUGUCAAUGACAAGAACAAUGGCUGGAACACAGCAGAUUUCUACCUUACCUGAUGUAUUUGGCUUCACGUCAGCAGAAGAGAAGUAGCCCAGCACCAACAAGACAUCAAGGGGGCCCCAGAGCUUGUUGGGAGACGUAUAAAGGUGUGGUCUUAUGCCAGCGAAGGGAGGAGUCCUGGGACUGGACAGAUGUCAAGGGUGACCUCUUCAUCAAGCUAACUGCUUGCACACCCGCCUGC